This 253-nucleotide ribosomal RNA is filed under the name uncultured bacterium. RNAcentral describes it as "partial 16S ribosomal RNA". It matches the Rfam family "Bacterial small subunit ribosomal RNA", at positions 524 to 776 of the family's 1533-position model. The record is from RNAcentral.
UACGUAGGGUGCAAGCGUUGUCCGGAAUUAUUGGGCGUAAAGAGCUCGUAGGCGGUCUGUCGCGUCGGCUGUGAAAUCCCGAGGCUCAACCUCGGGUCUGCAGUCGAUACGGGCAAACUAGAGUAUUGCAGGGGAGACUGGAAUUCCUGGUGUAGCGGUGAAAUGCGCAGAUAUCAGGAGGAACACCGGUGGCGAAGGCGGUUGCCUGGGGCUUUGCUGACGCUGAUGCGCGAAAGCGUGGGGAGCGAUCCGG